Molecule: unclassified non-coding RNA, 326 nt
Filed under: Hevea brasiliensis (rubber tree)
Lineage: Eukaryota; Viridiplantae; Streptophyta; Magnoliopsida; Malpighiales; Euphorbiaceae
Source: RNAcentral
ACUUCUCAUAAACAACCAAUGCAACCAUUUUGCUGGAGCCAUUACAACAUAAUAAAGAUUAUCUCACAUGUUGCAGGACAGAACAUUUAACUAUUCAGUCUCCACACUCCAUCACUAUCCAGAUAGUUGAAACAGCAGCUACACUAAACCUUCCUGAGCAGCAGAAAAAUCCUCUGAUCCAGCUCGAAAUUUGCCGCAUUUGACGGAUCGCCCCUCAGCAUCAUCAGAAGACCUCCAAAGGAAGCAUACAUCUCCACUUUCACAUUAGGUCCACUGGCAGACUCUUCAGAGAUUUUAAACAGCUUUCCAUGCAUGACAUACUCAAA